RNAcentral lists this long non-coding RNA (543 nucleotides) under Apteryx rowi (Okarito brown kiwi). Its description in RNAcentral is "lncRNA (ENSARWG00000014895.1)". Lineage: Eukaryota; Metazoa; Chordata; Aves; Apterygiformes; Apterygidae. The record is from RNAcentral.
AUGAGCAGGUGGUGCUCGCCUGCGGGGGGCCCAGGCGUCCGGGGGGGAGGGGCCCAGGCGUCCGGGAAAGGGCCCAGGUGUCCGGGAAGGGCCCAGGCGUCCGGGAAGGACCCAGGCGUCCGGGAGGGGCCCAGGCAUCCGGGAAGGGCCCAGGCGUCCGGGAGGGGCCCAGGCGUCCGAGGGACCCAGGCGUCCGGGAAGGGCCCAGGUGUCCGGGAGGGGCCCAGGUGUCCGGGAAGGGGCCCAGGUGUCCGGGAAAGGGGCCCAGGUGUCCGGGAAGGGGCCCAGGCGUCCGGGAGGGGCCCAGGCGUCCGGCUCACCAGCGAACGAGAGGUGCCGCAGCCGGGCGUUGGCUCGAGCCUCCUGCACCUUCUCCACGACGAUGCGCCAGGCCCCUGCGCGCGCGGGCGUCACGCGUGUCAGCCCGGGUCACCCGCCGCGUCACCCCGCGUCACCCAUCGCAUGUCACCCAUCGCGUGUCACUCCAGGUCCCCCCGCGCCACCCAGCCCUUGUCACCCUCUGUCACCCAACCUGUGUCACCC